UUUGUUUUGUUUCAAUAGGUCAUUACAUACGUUGGACUCGUGUUAAAAAUAAAUAAAGAGAGCCGCAAAGGAAUGGAAGCAUUCCCUUGCCAACUAUAUAGUGCACAGAGUUGGAAAGUGGAGGUCAGGGCUCUACGAACGUAGACGCCCUUAUCAAUCACUAAUGAUCCUUCCGCAGGUUCACCUACGGAAA
This 193-nucleotide unclassified non-coding RNA is filed under the name uncultured fungus. RNAcentral's name for it is "sequence contains ITS1". Lineage: Eukaryota; Fungi. The record is from RNAcentral.